UGGGUUUACUUUUUUGUGUCUGUCUGAAUGUGUGUUGACUUAUGAAUCUUAUGAAUUCUGUGAAUAUUACAUCCAUGAGUGGGUCUGUCUGAGUGUCUGUGUUGAUGUGCAGCAGGGUGCAGCUGUUCUGUUAUGCGCACACAGGAGAAGAGAGAGAGAGAGAGAGAGAGAGAGAGAGA
Engraulis encrasicolus (European anchovy) is the source of this 179-nucleotide long non-coding RNA. RefSeq lists it as uncharacterized. The transcript is spliced from 2 exons. NCBI's taxonomy places the organism in Eukaryota, Metazoa, Chordata, Actinopteri, Clupeiformes, Engraulidae. The record is from RefSeq and is a predicted model, not a curated record.